GAUGAACGCUGGCGGCGUGCCUAAUACAUGCAAGUCGAGCGAACAGACGAGGAGCUUGCUUCUCUGACGUUAGCGGCGGACGGGUGAGUAGCACGUGGAUAACCUACCUAUAAGACUGGGAUAACUUCGGGAAACCGGAGCUAAUACCGGAUAAUAUAUUGAACCGCAUGGUUCAAUAGUGAAAGACGGUUUUGCUGUCACUUAUAGAUGGAUCCGCGCCGCAUUAGCUAGUUGGUAGGGUAACGGCUUACCAAGGCAACGAUGCGUAGCCGACCUGAGAGGGUGAUCGGCCACACUGGAACUGAGACACGGUCCAGACUCCUACGGGAGGCAGCAGUAGGGAAUCUUCCGCAAUGGGCGAAAGCCUGACGGAGCAACGCCGCGUGAGUGAUGAAGGUCUUCGGAUCGUAAAACUCUGUUAUUAGGGAAGAACAAAUGUGUAAGUAACUAUGCACGUCUUGACGGUACCUAAUCAGAAAGCCACGGCUAACUACGUG
Molecule: ribosomal RNA, 497 nt
Filed under: uncultured bacterium
Lineage: Bacteria
Description: partial 16S ribosomal RNA
Rfam family: Bacterial small subunit ribosomal RNA
Source: RNAcentral